CGGGGUAUAGCUCAGUGGUAGGGUGCAUGCUUGGCGUGCACAAGGUCCUGGGUUCAAUCCCCAGUGCCUCCG
Molecule: transfer RNA, 72 nt
Filed under: Camelus bactrianus (Bactrian camel)
Lineage: Eukaryota; Metazoa; Chordata; Mammalia; Artiodactyla; Camelidae
Also listed under: 1 other name
Rfam family: tRNA
About the family: Transfer RNA (tRNA) molecules are approximately 80 nucleotides in length.
Source: Rfam by way of RNAcentral